This is a long non-coding RNA of Dama dama (fallow deer), 1199 nucleotides long. RefSeq lists it as uncharacterized. The record is from RefSeq and is a predicted model, not a curated record. Lineage: Eukaryota; Metazoa; Chordata; Mammalia; Artiodactyla; Cervidae. The transcript is spliced from 5 exons.
CUGGUGGGCGGUGGGCAGCCCACAGAGGCCGGGGCUUAGUUUGAACACGGUGAGCUCAGCCCCUUCACAUCAGGCACCCAGAGAGGCCAAGGCUCUGUGUUCAGGGCCAGGAUCCCAGUUUUGGGCCUGCCUCCCACACACCAGGCCACCUGGCCUCGUGGUCCCUGCUAGACAGAAGCUGAGUGAUAAAAGCAUAUGCUCUGGUCAUAUUUCCAGAGGCAGAAACUUUCCCACUCACAGUGGGAGUGAGGUCUAAGAAAUCUCCAAAUGCUGUCAGCCCUGCUGAGAAUCACAUCUCGCUUCACCAGAAAGCUACCAGGAAAUCAACUGGAAAACUUGCUGAGCACGAACCGGGAGGCUGGGCUCCAGCUCAGGGCAGGGGAGGCUAUAUACAUUGUGAUCAGAGGCUGAUUCUUUACCACUAUGCCACCUGGGAAGCAGAGCUGAUAAUGAAAACAGGUCACCCCUGAAGACCUGGGGAGGCAUCAUCGCUGGAGAACAAAGAGGCUGCAGGAGUUAAGACCCUUCAGAAACACCAGGCCUGGGGCCAGCAGCCUCCCGCACUGGGUGCAGCUCAUGACUGUCUCCCUGCCUCUGGCCCCGUGCAUCCUGUCUCUCUCAUGGUCUCCAGAAGCAGCCCCUGAGAAGAGGAUUCAUGGGAAGAACCAGGCAUCUGCCGCAUGAACUAGCCUGAGCUAGGCUGCUGGAGAGUGAGAGAGCUGAGGCAUCCCAUCCUAGACCAGCUCGUAACCAAGUGGCCCCAGACAUGCGAGGGUGUCCAGCCUCUAUCAGCAGAGCUACCCAGCUGACCACAGGCAGGCUCUUUAGUUGAUGUGACCAAGAAGUCUCCUGAAGCUCCAGUCUUACUUCUUCCUUCCGCCAAAUCCAGAUAAAAAAUCAUAACCCUCUUCUCAGCCUCUAAAUCGUCUCUAAAAAGUACUCUGAUUGGCCUGACUUGGACCACAUGUCCUUACCUGAACCAAUCUCCUGGCUGGAGAACAAGAACCCUCAGAUUGGAUCCUCUUCAUUAACAGAAGUCACGUGAAGAGAGUGAGACAGUGGUAGUUCCCAAGGGAAAGAGAAGCAGGCCAACCAGAAAAGCAGUAACUUUCUACUAUUCUCGCCAAGUACAGAGCUGGUGCAGUGAAAAAAGACACACACUUUGCAACAAAUUGGGAAAGUUUCUGAAGCCCAAUGAC